This 1605-nucleotide long non-coding RNA is filed under the name Capra hircus (goat). RNAcentral describes it as "lncRNA (ENSCHIG00000007408.1)". The record is from RNAcentral. Lineage: Eukaryota; Metazoa; Chordata; Mammalia; Artiodactyla; Bovidae.
CAGCUCCCUUUCAGUAGAAACUGGCCAUGCUACGUAUUCAAUUUAGUCUUCCUCUCUUAGGUAACUGAGUGCCUUUAAAUGAGGUGAGUUUCACAUUUGUCAUAAUUUUGUGAUUCCUUAGAAGUCACUAAGAUCAAACUGCUGGCAGCUGUCCUGUAGCAGCAAACCAACAUAUGGUGGAAAGCAAAGCAGGUUCUCCUCUUUUGGAGUUUCAGCCAGUGAGAAGGAAAUCCAGUUCCUCUUCUGUCUGUUCAGCUCGCUAGAGCAGCUUCUCUUCAAAUCCACAGCAGAAUAGUUCACAGUAUUUGGAAAGGAAGAGAAAUGAGCAACAGAAGAUACUAAAAUGAAGUAGAGAUGAUAAACAAGAAGCUUCUGAAACAUGUUAGACAUAGAUGAGGGGAAGUCAUCUUAUAGCAUGUCUAGAAGUUAUACUGAGCAAGGAAUGUUUGAGGAGGUUUAUUACAAGUCUCCAAUGCAAAGGAAAGUGGACGUUGACUUCUGUUAAUAAAGCAGCUACUGUAAAGGAAAUGGAAGUCACUAGACAUGGAAACGGGCUUCUUUUGUGGCUCAUUGGUAAAGAAUUUGCCUGCCAAUACAGGAGAUAUGCGUUUGAUCCCUGGGUUGGGAAGAUACCCUGGAGAAGGAAACAGCAACCCACUCAAGUUUUCUUGCUUGGGAAAUCCUACGGACAGAAGAGCCUGGUAGGCUACCAGCCUAGGGGUCACAAAGAGCUGGACACGACUUAGUGACUGAGCACACGUGCAGAUAUUGGAAUAUUUGUUUUGGAUUAUUUUUUCCAUCACUUAUUUUUGAAAAAUCUCUAUUCAAUCUAUUCACUUCUAAUCAACCAAAUUAUUCUGUUAGCUAUAUAUCUGGGGCUAUAGCUAAAAUCCAUGCUAUUGAUCUCUGCUUUUCUGUGCCUAAGGCUAAGUAAACUUUCAUAAAAUGCAGCAACCAACUGGCAAAAAAUAGAACAAAACAAAUAUCUUGUGCUUCAGUAUCAAUGUCAACAACUGUCUAUUACAUCCUUGCAAACUAGCUCUAAAGGUUUUAAAACCCUUAAUAUUAUUGCAUUUGCUGAAGGAUUUGGGGACAAUAUGAUUUUAAAGAAUCUAUUUACUUGUUCUGGAUAUGUUCAUAUUUUUAUUUGAAAAAAUAUUUUUUCAAUAUGAUUUUUCUAUGAUAGUAAAAGGGAGCAAAACUUAUCUUUAAUUCCUCAAAUUGAGAGGAAUGUUUAAGGCAAUUUUACAAUGUUAAUAAAUAGGAAAACCCAUUAGCAUCUGAUUUACUGGGGUAGUCAGGAUUCAAACAUGGUUUAUUGCUGUGCACUUAGCACAUAAAGCAUGCAUUUUGUUUUCAAUUUCCUUAUACUCCCAGCUGAGUGGUAAAACUAUUCUAUGCAGUAUAUUAGUAGCAAUAAUAGGGUAAAAGCUGGAGGGGGUUCUGAAAUAUCUUAAGAAAUUUAUUUCUAUUUCUGCUGUAACAACCACUCAAGGCAUAAAGUUUGUAAUGUGACACUUAUAGACUUUAAGGAUCAUUUAAAUAAAAUCUAAAACAAUAAAACAUUAGCAUUGUUAUAAAGCAGGAAAUCACAUUAAAAAUCCA